GAUGAACGCUGGCGGCGUGCCUAAUACAUGCAAGUCGAGCGAACGGACGAGAAGCUUGCUUCUCUGAUGUUAGCGGCGGACGGGUGAGUAACACGUGGAUAACCUACCUAUAAGACUGGGAUAACUUCGGGAAACCGGAGCUAAUACCGGAUAAUAUUUUGAACCGCAUGGUUCAAAAGUGAAAGACGGUCUUGCUGUCACUUAUAGAUGGAUCCGCGCUGCAUUAGCUAGUUGGUAAGGUAACGGCUUACCAAGGCAACGAUGCAUAGCCGACCUGAGAGGGGGAGCGGCCACAGGGGAAGUGGAACAGGAUCAAGCCCCCUCGGGGGGGCACCAGUAGGAAAUCUUCGGAAGUGGGGGAAAGCCUGAGGAAGCAGCGCGGGGGGAGGAAGAAAGGUCUCGGUAUCGUAAAACUCUUUUAUGGGGGAAAAAAAUAUUUGUAAGUAACGGUACAAAUUUUGACGUUACCUAAUAAAAAAGCAACGGCUAACUACGUG
This 497-nucleotide ribosomal RNA is filed under the name uncultured bacterium. RNAcentral's name for it is "partial 16S ribosomal RNA". It matches the Rfam family "Bacterial small subunit ribosomal RNA", at positions 28 to 507 of the family's 1533-position model. The record is from RNAcentral.